RNAcentral lists this ribosomal RNA (565 nucleotides) under uncultured bacterium. Its description in RNAcentral is "bacterial SSU rRNA". It matches the Rfam family "Bacterial small subunit ribosomal RNA", at positions 338 to 916 of the family's 1533-position model. The record is from RNAcentral.
CCUACGGGAGGCAGCAGUGGGGAAUUUUCCGCAAUGGGCGAAAGCCUGACGGAGCAAUACCGCGUGAGGGAGGAAGGCUCUUGGGUUGUAAACCUCUUUUCUCAGGGAAGAACAAAAUGACGGUACCUGAGGAAUAAGCAUCGGCUAACUCUGUGCCAGCAGCCGCGGUAAUACAGAGGAUGCAAGCGUUAUCCGGAAUGAUUGGGCGUAAAGCGUCCGCAGGUGGUUUUGUAUGUCUGCUGUUAAAGAGUUAGGCUUAACCUAAUAAAGGCGGUGGAAACUACAAGACUAGAGUACGUUCGGGGCAGAGGGAAUUCCCAGUGUAGCGGUGAAAUGCGUAGAGAUUGGGAAGAACACCGGUGGCGAAAGCGCUCUGCUAGGCCUGUACUGACACUGAGGGACGAAAGCUAGGGGAGCGAAUGGGAUUAGAUACCCCAGUAGUCCUAGCCGUAAACGAUGGAUACUAGGCGUUGUCUGUAUCGACCCGGACAGUGCCGUAGCUAACGCGCUAAGUAUCCCGCCUGGGGAGUACGCAGGCAACUGUGAAACUUAAAUGAAUUGACGG